GACCGCGUAGCUCAGUUGGCAGAGCAUUGGGCUAGUAUUCCAAAGGUCUUAGGUUCGAUUCCCACCGUGGCCA
Molecule: non-coding RNA, 73 nt
Organism: Paramuricea clavata
Lineage: Eukaryota; Metazoa; Cnidaria; Anthozoa; Malacalcyonacea; Plexauridae
Source: the annotation of a GenBank genome assembly